ACAACCACAUCCACAGAAUGUUACUGUUUUUGUAGAUAACUCAGAUAACUACAUAUUCUAAAUCAUUCCAUUCUAGGACUAUGCUGUAAAAGAGAAAAUUGCCUGGAUCUGGGAAACUUAAAUAACUAGUGAAUCAGAUGGGCCAUGCCGAUCCAUCUUAAGGUAGUCUGGGCUACUAAAAUAAUGAAAUUAAAAAGAGAGAAGAUCUGUCUGCGUCAGUGCAUUAGUGCAGAUGAAGGUGGCCGAACAGAUUUUCCCCAUGAAGGAGGUCCAGAAAGUGUACUUCACCAACAAAUUCAACUAUGUGGACAAGCUAGGAAAACAAGAGGUGUAAUUCAUGUCACAAUUCUCGCCCCCACACACACUCAAAGACACAGGACACAUCCAAGCACCCAAUACUGCCAUAAUUAAAUGCAUAGUGAAUGAUUAUGAAUUAGAUUUUUCAUUAUGUAUGUAUAGAGUUUAUAUAUAGAUUUAUACCACAAUACAUUAUUCAGUUAUAUAAUUGUAUAUAUUACUAUAUAAUAAAAAUAUAUUAUUGUAUAAUUACCAUCGUAAAAUAAAUUAUUAAGUGUAAUAUAAUUAUUUUAUUAUAUAACAAAUACAAUCUAUUACUAUUAUUUU
Long non-coding RNA from Trichomycterus rosablanca, 624 nucleotides. RefSeq lists it as uncharacterized. NCBI's taxonomy places the organism in Eukaryota, Metazoa, Chordata, Actinopteri, Siluriformes, Trichomycteridae. The record is from RefSeq and is a predicted model, not a curated record. The transcript has 3 exons.